ACUCCUACGGGAGGCAGCAGUAGGGAAGUCUUCCACAAUGGGCGCAAGCCUGAUGGAGCAACACCGCGUGAGUGAAGAAGGGUUUCGGUCUCGUAAAGCUCUGUUGUUAAAGAAGAACACGUAUGAGAGUAACUGUUCAUACGUUGACGGUAUUUAACCAGAAAGUCACGGCUAACUACGUGCCAGCAGCCGCGGUAAUACGUAGGUGGCAAGCGUUAUCCGGAUUUAUUGGGCGUAAAGAGAGUGCAGGCGGUUUUCUAAGUCUGAUGUGAAAGCCUUCGGCUUAACCGGAGAAGUGCAUCGGAAACUGGAUAACUUGAGUGCAGAAGAGGGUAGUGGAACUCCAUGUGUAGCGGUGGAAUGCGUAGAUAUAUGGAAGAACACCAGUGGCGAAGGCGGCUACCUGGUCUGCAACUGACGCUGAGACUCGAAAGCAUGGGGUAGCGAACAGGAUUAGAUACCCUGGUAGGAUAGCG
Molecule: ribosomal RNA, 476 nt
Filed under: uncultured bacterium
Lineage: Bacteria
Description: bacterial SSU rRNA
Rfam family: Bacterial small subunit ribosomal RNA
Source: RNAcentral